RNAcentral lists this long non-coding RNA (1014 nucleotides) under Androctonus crassicauda. The record is from RNAcentral. Lineage: Eukaryota; Metazoa; Arthropoda; Arachnida; Scorpiones; Buthidae.
AAACAAUUUAAGUUUUUAUAAAUAAGUGUAUUAAAUAUUUAAAUAUUUUAUGAUGAUUUAUUGCAGAUUUACUAAUAUCGUGAGUGUUUUUUUGUUCGAUUUAUAUAGAAAAAAUCGAUUUUUCGAUAUAUAUAUUUUUAAUAUAUUUUAUCUAAAUCCGUAAACAGAGUAGGCCUGUAAAAAGAUUUCAAACUCGGAUAUUAAGAUUUAACCAAAAAUCGCAUAAAAUAUUAAAUACGACAAAUUUUUCGUCCGAGAGAAAAGAAUGUUUCUGUAUAACAGAAAACUUCUUGCCUCUGGAGAGAAGCGCUGCUUGAAGAUGCUGUCUAGCAGAUUGAUUCUUUACUCAGUUCUAUUGUAGAUGAAUUAUUAAUAAUAUAAAGUCUAGUCAGUCUGAUCACCAGAAUUUCUGCAUUCUGUAUUUGAAUGUCGUCGGUGUAACUGGUGAAGAUGGCUUGCAAGUAUCAUCCGAAUAUUAAACAUGAAUAAGCUUAUACUUGUCAUUUUGAUUUAGAGAGCGCAUUAUACAGUAUCCGAAAAAAACAAAAAACGGAUUGUUUUCGAGUUGUAAAUCGACUUAUAACAAGAAAAAAAAAAGAGAGAGACUUCUGUUAGUGACAGACUCAAAGCAGUUACUGCAUUUCAAACGCAAUAAGGAAUGACGCUCUCUCGAUAAGUUAGAGUUUAGAUAGCUGUAGCAGCUUUGAAAGCAAAAAUUGGUUUCUUCUCGACUUUAAGAGGCUUUCGACUGUGCAAAAGGGUCUCAUCUAGCCUGUUAAUGGUAAAAGUUCCUCGCAGAUUUACUGUGUUCGCGUGGGAGAUGGAAUACCGAACAGGAAUCGAUUCCAAAUUCCUUAGUUUAAACUGGACUUUGAUGGGGACAAAUAGUUCCACCAAAUUUCUUCCUAAUGCCAGUAAUUCGAAAGAAAAUUUUUUUUUUUUAAAUUUGAUAAAUACAUUAUCUAAAAAGGAAAAAUCUAUAGACAUGCUAGCAUUAAUGAUUUUAUUUAAUCC